Molecule: long non-coding RNA, 237 nt
Filed under: Ursus americanus (American black bear)
Lineage: Eukaryota; Metazoa; Chordata; Mammalia; Carnivora; Ursidae
Description: lncRNA (ENSUAMG00000007678.1)
Source: RNAcentral
CACCCAGGUGCCUGGGGGCUCUGCCUUCUGAACCUUGGAACACCCCAAAAGAGACAGUCUCUGAGGGUGAUUACUGCUCUAAAGUUGGACAUUGGAGGAAGAUCCAUUAGGCCGUCAGAAUGGAAACCAGGAAAGGAAAUCGACUGACGCAGGAGCCAGAGUGAGACCGACGAGCCUGCAAACCCAGCCCGCACCAUGAACUUGUGUCUUCCUUCUCCGUUUUAAGAGCCAAGGGCA